GUCACCUGCACUUCUGUCUGCAAUCAAGCAAGUAGUUUAAUUGGGCAAUGGCAGAGCCUUGCAGGAUAUCCUAAUGAGCCUAAUUGGUAGUGGGAAUCUGAGUCCCUGGAGAAUAGAGAUAGAAAGAAACCAGCAGACAAAGAGACAGGUAUUUUACUGAAAAGCUGCAAAAAUAGCCUGAGUUCCACAAAGCCGUUUUUAUGCUGAUUUCCUUCUGCUUCUGAUGGACCCUAUUUGCUGUAUAUGCUGCUCCUGUUGCUUCUCUUGCUUUCUUAGCUUCCCAGACAGUCAGUGGCAUUUGUUUCUGAUAGUUUGCAUUAGUGUCAAAGAGUCUGAGACCAGCAGCAGGUAGAUUAGUGAGGCUAUCCUCCUGUGGGCAGAGUUUUGGCACUGCAGCUGACCAAGAUUUUUGCAGAUGUAGAGCCUACCAGAAUGCUUUGAACAGACAUAGCUGUGUCCAUAUCAAAAGAGCACUGAUGGUAGGAUGCUCAAAUAAUUUCCAAACAGGUACUACCAUCUCCUUGAGGAAUUUGAGAAAGAUUCUGAAAUUGAAUAUGGAGGAAUCAGCACAGGGACCAGGAAGAUCACCUAAAUUUACUUACUUAAAUGUGUGCCAGUGCUUGCUGUGUCAUCAAAACAAGAGAACAGUGGUUUCACUAUAG
RNAcentral lists this long non-coding RNA (662 nucleotides) under Numida meleagris (helmeted guineafowl). Its description in RNAcentral is "lncRNA (ENSNMEG00000005539.1)". The record is from RNAcentral. Lineage: Eukaryota; Metazoa; Chordata; Aves; Galliformes; Numididae.